AUUGAACGCUGGCGGCAUGAUUUACACAUGCAAGUCGAACGGUAACAGGCCGCAAGGUGCUGACGAGUGGCGAACGGGUGAGUAAUGCAUCGGAACGUGCCCAGUCGUGGGGGAUAACUACUCGAAAGAGUAGCUAAUACCGCAUACGAUCUAUGGAUGAAAGCGGGGGACCGUAAGGCCUCGCGCGAUUGGAGCGGCCGAUGUCAGAUUAGGUAGUUGGUGGGGUAAAGGCUCACCAAGCCAACGAUCUGUAGCUGGUCUGAGAGGACGACCAGCCACACGGGGACUGAGACACGGCCCAGACUCCUACGGGAGGCAGCAGUGGGGAAUUUUGGACAAUGGGCGCAAGCCUGAUCCAGCAAUGCCGCGUGCAGGAAGAAGGCCUUCGGGUUGUAAACUGCUUUUGUACGGAACGAAACGGCUCUGGUUAAUACCCGGGGCUAAUGACGGUACCGUAAGAAUAAGCACCGGCUAACUACGUG
RNAcentral lists this ribosomal RNA (482 nucleotides) under uncultured bacterium. RNAcentral's name for it is "partial 16S ribosomal RNA". It matches the Rfam family "Bacterial small subunit ribosomal RNA", at positions 30 to 507 of the family's 1533-position model. The record is from RNAcentral.